UACGAGGGGGGCAAGCGUUGUUCGGAAUUAUUGGGCGUAAAGGGUGCGUAGGCGGUUUGACAAGUCUGAUGUGAAAUCUAUGGGCUCAACCCAUAGUCUGCAUCGGAAACUGUCGGGCUUGAGUGUGGGAGAGGUGAGUGGAAUUUCCGGUGUAGCGGUGAAAUGCGUAGAUAUCGGAAGGAACACCUGUGGCGAAAGCGGCUCACUGGACCAUUACUGACGCUGAUGCACGAAAGCGUGGGGAGCGAACAGG
This 253-nucleotide ribosomal RNA is filed under the name uncultured bacterium. Its description in RNAcentral is "partial 16S ribosomal RNA". It matches the Rfam family "Bacterial small subunit ribosomal RNA", at positions 524 to 776 of the family's 1533-position model. The record is from RNAcentral.